GUGGGGAAUUUUGGACAAUGGGGGCAACCCUGAUCCAGCCAUGCCGCGUGCGGGAAGAAGGCCUUCGGGUUGUAAACCGCUUUUGUCAGGGAAGAAAUCCUUUGGGUUAAUACCUCGGAGGGAUGACGGUACCUGAAGAAUAAGCACCGGCUAACUACGUGCCAGCAGCCGCGGUAAUACGUAGGGUGCGAGCGUUAAUCGGAAUUACUGGGCGUAAAGCGUGCGCAGGCGGUUUUGUAAGAUCGAUGUGAAAUCCCCGGGCUCAACCUGGGAACUGCAUUGGUGACUGCAAGGCUGGAGUGCGGCAGAGGGGGAUGGAAUUCCGCGUGUAGCAGUGAAAUGCGUAGAUAUGCGGAGGAACACCGAUGGCGAAGGCAAUCCCCUGGGCCUGCACUGACGCUCAUGCACGAAAGCGUGGGGAGCAAACAGGAUUAGAUACCCGAGUAGUCC
RNAcentral lists this ribosomal RNA (450 nucleotides) under uncultured bacterium. RNAcentral's name for it is "partial 16S ribosomal RNA". It matches the Rfam family "Bacterial small subunit ribosomal RNA", at positions 354 to 796 of the family's 1533-position model. The record is from RNAcentral.